CACGUAGGGCGCAAGCGUUGUCCGGAAUUAUUGGGCGUAAAGAGCUCGUAGGUGGUUUGUUACGUCUGCUGUGAAAUCCUAGGGCUUAACCCUGGGCUUGCAGUGGAUACGGGCAGACUAGAGGUAGGUAGGGGAGAAUGGAAUUCCUGGUGUAGCGGUGAAAUGCGUAGAUAUUGGGAGGAACACCAGUGGCGAAGGCGGCUCACUGGACCGGUACUGACGCUGAGGCGCGAAAGCGUGGGGAGCAAACGGG
Molecule: ribosomal RNA, 253 nt
Filed under: uncultured bacterium
Lineage: Bacteria
Description: partial 16S ribosomal RNA
Rfam family: Bacterial small subunit ribosomal RNA
Source: RNAcentral